UGCCAGCCGCCGCGGUAAUACAGAGGGUGCAAGCGUUAAUCGGAAUUACUGGGCGUAAAGCGCUCGUAGGCGGAUUAUUAAGUCGAAUGUGAAAUCCCUGGGCUCAACCUAGGAACUGCAUUCGAAACUGGUAGUCUAGAGUAUGGUAGAGGAAAGUGGAAUUCCUGGUGUAGCAGUGAAAUGCGUGGAUAUCAGGAGGAACAUCAAUGGCGAAGGCAACUUACUGGACAUUUACUGACGCUCAGACACGAAGGCUAGGGUAGCGAAAGGGAUUAGAUA
RNAcentral lists this ribosomal RNA (279 nucleotides) under uncultured bacterium. RNAcentral's name for it is "partial 16S ribosomal RNA". It matches the Rfam family "Bacterial small subunit ribosomal RNA", at positions 506 to 784 of the family's 1533-position model. The record is from RNAcentral.